Molecule: ribosomal RNA, 252 nt
Filed under: uncultured bacterium
Lineage: Bacteria
Description: partial 16S ribosomal RNA
Rfam family: Bacterial small subunit ribosomal RNA
Source: RNAcentral
UACGGAGGAUGCGAGCGUUAUCCGGAUUUAUUGGGUUUAAAGGGUGCGUAGGCGGACGCUUAAGUCAGCGGUAAAAUUGCGGGGCUCAACCUCGUCGAGCCGUUGAAACUGGGUGUCUUGAGUGGGCGAGAAGUACGCGGAAUGCGUGGUGUAGCGGUGAAAUGCAUAGAUAUCACGCAGAACUCCGACUGCGAAGGCAGCGUACCGGCGCCCAACUGACGCUGAAGCACGAAGGCGUGGGUAUCGAACAGG